AUGUCUUGCUUCAGAUUACCUCGAGGCCUUUGUGCAAGCAUUACGUCACUCAUUCGUCAAUUUUGGUGGGGGAGCAAGAGGGGCAAGAGGAAACCAUGUUGGGUAGCUUGGGAUUUGAUGACCCGACCGAAAAGUUUGGGAGGACUUGGCUUUCGGGAUAUAGAAAUCUUCAACUUGGCACUUUUGUCUCGGCAAAUUUGGAGAUUAUUGAAUGAUCCCUCCUCUCUUAGUGCACAAAUCCUUAAAGCAUCAUAUUUUCCACAAUGUACAGUCCUUGAAGCUCAACUAGGUCCACAUCCUAGUCAGGUGUGGCGAUCUAUACUUGAUGGGAGAGAUAUUAUCACCCAAGGAGCUAUCCGUCGUAUUGGUGAUGGAACCACGACGAACAUAUGGCAACAUAGUUGGAUCCCAAGGGACGGAAUGAUGAAGCCGGUGGCCUCUUUAGUUGCUGACCCACGACAACUGGUUUCUGAUCUGAUCGACCACACUAGAGCUGCUGGCGAGAGGACUUGCUUAGACAGGUGUUCAUACCUAUGGAUGUGGAGGCGAUCUUGCAAAUACCGCUCUGUACAUGGCUUGUGGACGAUUUCUGGGCGUGGAAUGAUGAUCCAAGGGGGCGUUUUUCUGUAG
Molecule: ribosomal RNA, 630 nt
Filed under: Triticum aestivum (bread wheat)
Lineage: Eukaryota; Viridiplantae; Streptophyta; Magnoliopsida; Poales; Poaceae
Description: partial small subunit ribosomal RNA
Source: RNAcentral